This 241-nucleotide ribosomal RNA is filed under the name uncultured anaerobic ammonium-oxidizing bacterium. RNAcentral describes it as "partial 16S ribosomal RNA". It matches the Rfam family "Bacterial small subunit ribosomal RNA", at positions 442 to 674 of the family's 1533-position model. The record is from RNAcentral.
GUUAGGAAAUGCAGGUGCGUUAAUAGCGCACUUGCUUGACUAAGGCUCCAGAGGAAGCCACGGCUAACUCUGUGCCAGCAGCCGCGGUAAUACAGAGGCGGCAAGCGUUGUUCGGAAUUAUUGGGCGUAAAGAGCACGUAGGCGGCCUUGCAAGUCAGUUGUGAAAGCCUUCCGCUUAACGGAAGAACGGCAUCUGAUACUACAGGGCUUGAGUACGGGAGGGGAGAGUGGAACUUCUGGU